Molecule: ribosomal RNA, 428 nt
Filed under: uncultured eukaryote
Lineage: Eukaryota
Description: bacterial SSU rRNA
Rfam family: Eukaryotic small subunit ribosomal RNA
Source: RNAcentral
CUGACGGUAGUCGUAUGCUCGUCUCCGAGACUAAGCCAUGCAAGUCCAAGUACACGUCCUUGAACGACGGAAACUGCGAACGGCUCAUUAAAUCAGUUGCGAUCUACUCGGCGUUCCGCGCCGCCGGAUAACCGUAGUAAUUCUAGGGCUAAUACGUGCGAAGCGCCCGAAGCCGCGAGGCGACGGGCGUUCUCGCCGGAUGUAGGAACCGACCCGGGGACCGCCGGGGGCAACCCGGGCGCCCCCGAGACCGGGGCGAACCACGGUGAAAUGACGGAUCGUCGGCCCCGCGCCGGCGACUCGCCGAAUGAGUUUCUGACCUAUCAACUCGAGACGGCGGGGUAGAGGCCCGCCGCGGUAACGACGGGUAACGGGGAUCAGGGGUUCCGAUUCCGGAGAGGGGAGCCCGAGAAACGGCUACCACUUCC